UUGAACGCUGGCGGUAUGCUUAACACAUGCAAGUCGAACGCGAGUAGCAAUACUUGAGUGGCGGACGGGUGAGUAAUGCGUAGGAAUCUGCCUGGUAGUGGGGGAUAACGUAGGGAAACUUACGCUAAUACCGCAUACGCCCUACGGGGGAAAGCGGGGGAUCGCAAGACCUCGCGCUAUUAGAUGAGCCUACGUCAGAUUAGCUUGUUGGUGGGGUAAUGGCCUACCAAGGCGACGAUCUGUAGCUGGUCUGAGAGGAUGAUCAGCCACACUGGGACUGAGACACGGCCCAGACUCCUACGGGAGGCAGCAGUGGGGAAUAUUGGACAAUGGGCGCAAGCCUGAUCCAGCAAUACCGCGUGUGUGAAGAAGGCCUUAGGGUUGUAAAGCACUUUCAAUUGGGAGGAAUACCUGGUCGCUAAUAUCGGCCAGAUUGACAUUACCUUUAGAAGAAGCACCGGCUAACUCCGU
Molecule: ribosomal RNA, 471 nt
Filed under: uncultured bacterium
Lineage: Bacteria
Description: bacterial SSU rRNA
Rfam family: Bacterial small subunit ribosomal RNA
Source: RNAcentral